UUCCGCACGGCGGGGCAGGGCCACGGAGAAGCUGCGCCUGGGUAAUGAGACAAUUAGCUCCUUGCAUUCUUCCUGCAGGAACAAAUCCGGGCCCCCAUGGCAUCUGUCCCCUCCUGUUCCUCCAGCUGGCCUCCUUGCCACGCGCACCCUCUCCCCGGAACCCAGCCCCUCUGCUCGCUGCUCCUCGCCCACGAGCGAGCGCACAGAGGGCGCGGGCGAGGCUGGAUCGGGGACCAAGCCAGAGACUGGCAGGGGCGGCGUGAUUGACGACAGUGCACGCGUGCCCCUGAACUGAGCGUCAAAGUUCUCCUGCGCCAUUGGCAGCCCCGGCUCGAAAGCUGCUUCGUAGCCCAGGCAGCAUAUGGCCUGCUGACAGAGCAGCUGCUGGGGAGAAGAGCCCAGAGGAAGCCUCGAGGGAUAAACAGGAGGCGCUCCAGCAGGGCCAGCUCCCCUCCUGCAGGGAAUUCUACUUCCCACCGACAGCAACAGACCAAGAGGCCUCCUGCUCCUGGCCGGGAGUGACCAGCUUCUGAGAGGCUGCAGCCUUCCCUAAGAGGUAGAAACGCGGAGCAAGUAUGAAAAACUGUGCCCAUUCAUUCGGUGGAAAAAGUCAACCAAAACCAAAGCAGAGCCAGGCCCAGGAGACAGGAAGGAUUCAAUUCUGCUUCUAAGCGUUGCUCGGCACAGUCCUGAAGCCACCUUGGAGAGGCAGCUCCCCAAAUCAAAGGGGCCUGGAGUUUUUGCUUUUCCAGUCUGCUCUGGAGUCUCCUGAGAAACAGCUGUAAUUAUCUGGUCUCCAAACAAACACUUCACGGACAGGAGUGCUUACCAUUAGAUAGGACUGACUGGGAUUUUCCUCAGGUAGGUAGAAAUAUGAUGCCCUGCGGCCCAGGUGCAUCCAAACUUCCUCAGUGACAAACUCCCUCCCUGGGAAGCGUAUUUAAAAAUCCAACCACAGAGCAUCUGCACAGAGCAGAAUCCCAUGGCCCUCUUGGAGACCAGCUCAGUGAGGCUGAGGCGGGGUUUGGAAUUAAAAAAGAAAUUAGUUGCCAUGCUUGCUCUCCUCAGGCAUACAGAAGCCAGGAAAGAGAGAUCUGACACAGAGGUUCAAUCCCUAGACUUAAGAUCAAAAUCUAUUGCUGGAAGUGGCAGGCGUAGGGUGACUUAUUGGACAUUUAUUUUAUGAACUUCUAGGUCAUGUUUUUUCCACCGGAACAUAAAUGUGUUUUAAAGUGCCCAAUCUUUGUGAUAAUAAAAAGGGCUAAAAGUAAAGCAUGGGAUUGUUUACACACAAUAUUAAAACAUAAAAAUACAAUGUAAACAUAACCAUAUGUACUAAAGUAUAAAAAGACAAAUGUAGUUUUGUGAAUAACAGUAGCAAAGUUGAGAUCAGUGUAUUGUACCGAGGUAAGCAGACGGACUUUCAUUUUAAAUGUUUGUCAGUUCUACAAAACAUGCAAAUCCUUCUAUCCAAUACGCUUAUAAUGUUCAAGUAAUCUAUAGAAGAUAAAUAAGCCCUAUUCACAAGGAACCUCAUAGAAGUAUUAUGUAUAAUUCCAGUAAAAUUGUGAAAAAUUCAAUAUCCAAGCAUAAAAUAUUACAUAAACUGAGGCAUAACAACAGAAUGCAAUUUGAAGAUAUUAAAAUAAUUAGAAAAUCCAUAUAGCAAUAUACACAAACACUUGUGACAUGCAAAGUGGGCUGACAGAAAAAAAUUGAUCCAUUUAUAAUUUUUUUUGGUAUAUGAGAGAACAUGGAAAUGCAUACUUUUGUAAAGUGUUAUUUGCUUAAUAAAUACAUAUUUACAGUAAUGUCUCUAAUAUGAUGUUGUAGACAAUAAAGCCCAUAGAAAAUUUCAUUCAGAAGAAGUAGAGACCAUUUAUUUAAGGCUUCCCCCAUUCACAGAAUCCUAGGGUCUUCCUGUGCUGAGGAAGGACCCUUACGGUCAGGCUCAAUCUCUGAAACACACUAAAGAUACUUAUUUCAGUAACCUCGACACAAGGCACCUCGACAUAAGGCACCCCCGGGCUCUCCUAGUCUUCUGUAACUGGUAAACAACCCAGCAGGCUUUUCUCAAACUUCUUGUCUACCUCUGGGAGGGAUCCAAGCUGGGGGGUGUUGGGAGGGGGUGGGGAAGGCAGAUGCCCAAGAAUACAUCGAGGCAAACCAGACUUAUCUCGAAUUUUGUUUGUUCAGACCGAAAUUCUUUUGUUCAGAGCAGAUUGGCACCAAUUUCUCAAAAUUUGCAUCAAAGAACAAAGAUUCAUGUUUGAGUAAAAACAGUAAGAAUAGCACAGCUAACUCCCAAAGGUUCCUUCCUCCCACUCAGAGGCUCUGUCUCUGCUCCUCCAAGGCAGGGAACCAAUCCUGCCUGGUCUGGAACAGUCUCUGCAGGAGAGGCACAGUGUCCUCGGGAAGGCCUCCUGCUCACAGGCUCCGGGAAGAGUGGUCAGAGGCCGGUGUGAGGACAUCAAGUUUUCUCAUUGUUGGAUGAGGGACAGAGUUCCUGAGCCUCGAAUUUCCCAGCUUCAAUUCUGGAUAAAUGGUGCAUGAGUAAUUCCUUAGGCACACGCUAGAUUCGUGAGGAAAAAUGCUCCAAGUCACAAAGCCCAGGCUCAGUUUUGGUUCUGCUUCUUAUUUGCCUUGGAAUUUAAGGAUCCCUGCAUUUCCUUUUUGAACCUCAAUUUCCUUACUUAUGAAAUGGGAAAAUAACUUCUGUUUUGUGUAAUUCACAAGCUUACUGUAAAGCUCACUUAAAUGCCAGAUGGGAAGUACUACGCUUGGUAACUGAAAAAUAUUAAGCCUGUUAAGUAUUUUAAUAACUAAAAAUAAAAGAUGACAUUGUUAGUU
Molecule: long non-coding RNA, 2850 nt
Organism: Cavia porcellus (domestic guinea pig)
Lineage: Eukaryota; Metazoa; Chordata; Mammalia; Rodentia; Caviidae
Exons: 3
Source: RefSeq, a predicted model, not a curated record